CCAGAAUAUGAGCAGCUCGCUACAAGUUUUAAGAAAGCUAAAUCAGUCUUGAUUGCCAAGGUUGACUGUGAUGAGCACAAGAGUGUGUGUGUGUGCAGGAAGUACAGAGUUUCUGUCUAUCCAACAAUCCAAUGGUUUCCCAAAGGGAUGUAGAAGGAUGCCAUUGCUCCUUGAGGACCCCACUUCAGAGUCUUGAAGGUUCAAGUUGGUGUGGCGUCCUUCACCGCCACAAAGUUCCAGCCGGCGGUGACAACGCGCCCUCUUUCCCUGCAUCGUCUACCAUGAGGUUGUAUCAGCGGGCCCACACAUCACCUCGGCUCUGUCCUGGCGUUCUUCC
This is a long non-coding RNA of Lolium rigidum, 337 nucleotides long. RefSeq lists it as uncharacterized. The transcript is spliced from 3 exons. Lineage: Eukaryota; Viridiplantae; Streptophyta; Magnoliopsida; Poales; Poaceae. The record is from RefSeq and is a predicted model, not a curated record.